UUAUCUUAUCAGGUUAUAAUGCUAGAAUUGUAUUCUGUUUGUGGCUUGUGGAAGUUGACAAACAAUAUGACUUGGGAAUUUGAAUUAGACAUUGAAUUGGGAGCUUCUUUAGUGCUCAUUGAUGAGCACAUUACCUAUCACGCGUUGGUUGAUAUUCUUGUAGAGGAUUUUCAAAUAGAUAGUUCAACCAAUUCUUUGAAGCUUAGUUACAAGUUAGUCUCCACGUCUACAACCAUACAAUCUCAUCCUCUUUAUUUUAGGAACGAUAGACAGCUUGCAACUUUUAUGCACAAAUUCUCACAGAGUGGAGGAUUGCUUCAGUUAUGUUUGACUGUAGAGCAAAUUUCUGUGACAGUUGAGCAGGUUUUUCAAUAACCUUCUUGUGUAAUAAUUUUAAAAAUCCUUGUAAAAUCAUUAUUAAGUCAGUGAUUGUGCUUAUUACAGGCUGAGACUACUUCAAAUCCUUUUGUUUCUCAUUUUGUCCCUACUGCUCAGGUACUAAUCGUUUUAAAAAUCCUUGUAAAAUCAUUAUUAACGUUUUUAAACCCCUUUUAAAAAUCCUUGUAAAAUCAUUAUUAACGUUUUUAAACCCCUUUUAAAAAUCCUUGUAAAAUCAUUAUUAAGUCAGUGAUUGUGUUUAUUACAGGCUGAGACGACUUCAAAUCCUUUUGCUUCUCAUUCUGCAUUUACUACUCAGGUAAUAAUCCCUUUUAAAAAUCAUUAUUAACGUUUUUAAACCCCUUUUAAAAAUCCUUGUAAAAUCAUUAUUAAGUCAGUGAUUGUGUUUAUUACAGGCUGAGACGACUUCAAAUCCUUUUGCUUCUCAUUCUGCAUCUACUACUCAGGUAAUAAUCCCUUGUAAAAUCAUUAUUAACGUUUUUAAACCCCUUUUAAAAAUCCUUGUAAAAUCAUUAUUUAAGAUAGAUUGAUGUUUGAGGUAA
Molecule: small RNA, 941 nt
Filed under: Arabidopsis thaliana (thale cress)
Lineage: Eukaryota; Viridiplantae; Streptophyta; Magnoliopsida; Brassicales; Brassicaceae
Description: ATSL087010
Source: RNAcentral